Molecule: ribosomal RNA, 1412 nt
Filed under: Pseudomonas sp. aazad
Lineage: Bacteria; Pseudomonadati; Pseudomonadota; Gammaproteobacteria; Pseudomonadales; Pseudomonadaceae
Description: 16S ribosomal RNA
Rfam family: Bacterial small subunit ribosomal RNA
Source: RNAcentral
CAAGUCGAGCGGUAGAGAGAAGCUUGCUUCUCUUGAGAGCGGCGGACGGGUGAGUAAUGCCUAGGAAUCUGCCUGGUAGUGGGGGAUAACGUUCGGAAACGGACGCUAAUACCGCAUACGUCCUACGGGAGAAAGCAGGGGACCUUCGGGCCUUGCGCUAUCAGAUGAGCCUAGGUCGGAUUAGCUAGUUGGUGAGGUAAUGGCUCACCAAGGCGACGAUCCGUAACUGGUCUGAGAGGAUGAUCAGUCACACUGGAACUGAGACACGGUCCAGACUCCUACGGGAGGCAGCAGUGGGGAAUAUUGGACAAUGGGCGAAAGCCUGAUCCAGCCAUGCCGCGUGUGUGAAGAAGGUCUUCGGAUUGUAAAGCACUUUAAGUUGGGAGGAAGGGUUGUAGAUUAAUACUCUGCAAUUUUGACGUUACCGACAGAAUAAGCACCGGCUAACUCUGUGCCAGCAGCCGCGGUAAUACAGAGGGUGCAAGCGUUAAUCGGAAUUACUGGGCGUAAAGCGCGCGUAGGUGGUUUGUUAAGUUGGAUGUGAAAUCCCCGGGCUCAACCUGGGAACUGCAUUCAAAACUGACUGACUAGAGUAUGGUAGAGGGUGGUGGAAUUUCCUGUGUAGCGGUGAAAUGCGUAGAUAUAGGAAGGAACACCAGUGGCGAAGGGCGACCACCUGGACUAAUACUGACACUGAGGUGCGAAAAGCGUGGGGGAGCAAACAGGAUUAGAUACCCUGGUAGUCCACGCCGUAAACGAUGUCAACUAGCCGUUGGAAGCCUUGAGCUUUUAGUGGCGCAGCUAACGCAUUAAGUUGACCGCCUGGGGAGUACGGCCGCAAGGUUAAAACUCAAAUGAAUUGACGGGGGCCCGCACAAGCGGUGGAGCAUGUGGUUUAAUUCGAAGCAACGCGAAGAACCUUACCAGGCCUUGACAUCCAAUGAACUUUCUAGAGAUAGAUUGGUGCCUUCGGGAACAUUGAGACAGGUGCUGCAUGGCUGUCGUCAGCUCGUGUCGUGAGAUGUUGGGUUAAGUCCCGUAACGAGCGCAACCCUUGUCCUUAGUUACCAGCACGUAAUGGUGGGCACUCUAAGGAGACUGCCGGUGACAAACCGGAGGAAGGUGGGGAUGACGUCAAGUCAUCAUGGCCCUUACGGCCUGGGCUACACACGUGCUACAAUGGUCGGUACAGAGGGUUGCCAAGCCGCGAGGUGGAGCUAAUCCCAUAAAACCGAUCGUAGUCCGGAUCGCAGUCUGCAACUCGACUGCGUGAAGUCGGAAUCGCUAGUAAUCGCGAAUCAGAAUGUCGCGGUGAAUACGUUCCCGGGCCUUGUACACACCGCCCGUCACACCAUGGGAGUGGGUUGCACCAGAAGUAGCUAGUCUAACCUUCGGGAGGACGGUUACCACGG